RNAcentral lists this ribosomal RNA (301 nucleotides) under uncultured bacterium. RNAcentral's name for it is "partial 16S ribosomal RNA". It matches the Rfam family "Bacterial small subunit ribosomal RNA", at positions 509 to 807 of the family's 1533-position model. The record is from RNAcentral.
CAGCAGCCGCGGGAAUACGUAGGUGGCAAGCGUUGUCCGGAAUUAUUGGGCGUAAAGGGCUCGCAGGCGGUUUCUUAAGUCUGAUGUGAAAGCCCCCGGCUCAACCGUGGAGGGUCAUUGGAAACUGGAAAACUUGAGUGCAGAAGAGGAAAGUGGAAUUCCAUGUGUAGCGGUGAAAUGCGCAGAGAUAUGGAGGAACACCAGUGGCGAAGGCGACUUUCUGGUCUGUAACUGACGCUGAUGUGCGAAAGCGUGGGGAUCAAACAGGAUUAGAUACCCCCGUAGUCCCUGUCUCUUAUAC